Molecule: RNA transcript, 1429 nt
Organism: Gossypium raimondii (Peruvian cotton)
Lineage: Eukaryota; Viridiplantae; Streptophyta; Magnoliopsida; Malvales; Malvaceae
Gene name: CMP-sialic acid transporter 1
Exons: 8
Source: RefSeq, a predicted model, not a curated record
CGCGGAUUGUAAGAAAUGAAAGAUGAAGUGGUACAUAGCAGCUUUUCUCCUCACCGUCCUCACCAGUUCUCAGGGGAUAUUAACAACUCUAUCGCAAAGCAAUGGCAAAUAUAAAUAUGAUUACGCCACCGUUCCUUUCCUUGCAGAGGUUUUUAAGCUUAUUAUAUCGAGUGUUUUUCUAUGGAGAGAGUGUAAGAAAUUGCCUCCUCCAAAAAUGACAACGGAUUGGAAAACUGUUCGAUUGUUCCCCAUUCCGUCUGUCAUUUACUUAAUCCAUAAUAAUGUCCAGUUUGCUACUCUUAUGUAUCUCGAUACUUCGACGUAUCAGAUUAUGGGCAAUUUGAAGAUUGUCACUACUGGAAUUCUAUUCAGGUUAUUUCUUAAGAAGAAGCUAUCUAAUCUGCAGUGGAUGGCGAUCAUUCUAUUGGCGGUUGGAACAACCAUGAGCCAGGUCCAAGGUUGUGGAGAGGCUUCAUGUGAUUCCCUCUUCUCAGCACCAAUUCAAGGAUACAUGUUAGGAGUUUUAUCUGCUUGUCUUUCCGCAUUGGCUGGCGUGUAUACGGAGUUCUUGAUGAAGCAAAACAAUGAUAGCUUAUACUGGCAGAAUGUACAGUUGUACACGUUUGGUGCAAUCUUGAACAUGGCACGGCUUGUAGUUGAUGAUUUUAGAGCUGGAUAUGAGAAAGGACCUUGGUGGCAACGGCUGUUUAAUGGAUACAGCGUCACCACUUGGAUGGUUGUGUUAAAUCUAGGUUCUACUGGGCUUUUGGUUUCAUGGUUAAUGAAAUAUGCUGACAAUAUAGUCAAGGUAUAUUCCACAUCGAUGGCCAUGCUAUUGACAAUGGUUCUCUCUGUGUUCCUCUUCAGUUUCAAGCCAACACUUCAGCUUUUCUUGGGAAUCAUUAUUUGCAUGAUGUCUCUACAUAUGUAUUUUGCUCCUCCAAGUAUGCUUGUAGGCCUGCCUCCAACAGUUAGAUCAGAUCCAGAUAGCCUUGUCAUUGUUUCAGAUGACCAUAAAGCAGAGUCAUGACCAUCAACAUCUUUUCUGAAGUAUGUAAUUCUGUUGCAAUUCUCCUAUUAAAGGAAAUUAAAUUUAUUAAAAGUUUCACCGCCUACCAAUUGAAAUUCAUCAAUUAGGUAUUUAGUUAGAAUUUUUAUUUUUUACAGCUGAACAUGGGACAUGAAAAUGAGUCCCACUAACAAGGUAACGUGGUCAUGUUUGAUUACUUGGAAUGGUCAUUUUCUCAUUUGAGUUAUGAGAAAAAACCUUGUUUCCUACAUAUUCAUACAAAUGAAGGUUAAUUCCCUUUGUUUUAUGGAGUUGUCUUCUGUUUCUUGAUGAGACGUUAACAGAUAGUUGGAAAGAGAACUAUGCAUUAUUGUAAUGGAUUAAUGAAAGCGAGCAGUACUCAAAGCAACUGUUUCUUGA